ACUUCCGGCCUCGCUGGCAUGGACGUUUGUGGUGGGUCGUGUUGGUUCGCAGUCUCAGAACUGUGCUGGGAAGGAUGGUAGGGCGACUGGGUCUCACUUCCGCACCGUUGUAGGACCCGGGGUAGGGUUUUGAGCCCGUGGGAGCUGUCCCACGCGGCCUCGUCCUGCCAACGGUCGGAUGGCGGAGACGAAGGACGCACCGCAGAUGUUGGUGACCUUCAAGGAUGUGGCUGUGACUUUUACCCGGGAGGAGUGGAGACAGCUGGACCUGGCCCAGAGGACCCUGUACCGAGAGGUGAUGCUGGAGACCUGUGGGCUCCUGGUUUCACUAGGUAAUGGCUCACCUCUCAUCCCUGAGGAGGACCCUAACCCUGAUUCUUGGCCAGGCAAAAAGGUCACUGGAACUGCCCACCUUUCUCUUGACAGACUUUUCUGGUCCCACCUCUUCCUGACUGGUCUCACUUUGUCUGCAUCAGAGAUUGUUGGGGUAGAAAAUGUCCUUUUAACACAAACCCUCACUCCAGUGCUCAGCCCAUUCUGAGGUCCUUAAUCCAGAUUGCAUAAG
Molecule: small RNA, 565 nt
Filed under: Pongo abelii (Sumatran orangutan)
Lineage: Eukaryota; Metazoa; Chordata; Mammalia; Primates; Hominidae
Description: retained intron
Source: RNAcentral